This 503-nucleotide ribosomal RNA is filed under the name uncultured bacterium. RNAcentral describes it as "partial 16S ribosomal RNA". It matches the Rfam family "Bacterial small subunit ribosomal RNA", at positions 355 to 850 of the family's 1533-position model. The record is from RNAcentral.
UGGGGAAUUUUGGACAAUGGGCGAAAGCCUGAUCCAGCAAUGCCGCGUGUGUGAAGAAGGCCUUCGGGUUGUAAAGCACUUUUGUCCGGAAAGAAAUCCUUGGCUCUAAUACAGUCGGGGGGAUGACGGUACCGGAAGAAUAAGCACCGGCUAACUACGCGCCAGCAGCCGCGGUAAUACGUAGGGUGCAAGCGUUAAUCGGAAUUACUGGGCGUAAAGCGUGCGCAGGCGGUUUGCUAAGACCGAUGUGAAAUCCCCGGGCUCAACCUGGGAACUGCAUUGGUGACUGGCAGGCUAGAGUAUGGCAGAGGGGGGUAGAAUUCCACGUGUAGCAGUGAAAUGCGUAGAGAUGUGGAGGAAUACCGAUGGCGAAGGCAGCCCCCUGGGCCAAUACUGACGCUCAUGCACGAAAGCGUGGGGAGCAAACAGGAUUAGAUACCCUGGUAGUCCACGCCCUAAACGAUGUCAACUAGUUGUUGGGGAUUCAUUUCCUUAGUAACGUA